AUGCGACGGCACCAUUGUCCUCGUCCGAAUGAGUUUACUCUUGCCAGUCUCCUCAGUGCGUGCGCAACUGCUGCGUCAUUGGACGCUGGUCGCCAACUCCAUGCACUUGCUGUCGCUGCUGGACUUGAACACCAUGCCAUGGUCAGGAGCGCGCUCAUUGACAUGUAUGGAAAGAGCGGCAACAUGUCAGAUGCUGAUGUUGUAUUUUUGAAUCGCACGAAAGAUGAUGUGGUUUCAUGGACUGCGAUGAUCGUCGGGAAUGCUGAGCAUGGCCACAGCAAAAGGGCACUUGAAUUGUUUGAGGAAAUGUGCCGUGUUGGGCUAAAGCCGGACCAUGUUGCGUUCAUUGGUGUGCUCAGUGCUUGCUGUCAUGCUGGGGCAGUUGAGCUUGGAUUGAGGUACCUCAAUGCAAUGAGCAAAAGCUACGGACUGGAGCCGUCAAAGGAGCACUAUGGCUGUGUCGUGGAUUUGUUGGGCAGAGCUGGUAGAAUAGAUGAGGCUGAGGAGUUGAUUGGUGGUAUGGCAGCUAAUGAAAGAGAUGGAGUUGUUUGGACAUCUUUGCUUAGGGCAUGUGCAGCUCGAGGGGAAGAGCAAACCGGGAAGAAAGCUGCAGAGAGGGUAAUGGAGGCAGAGCCAUGGGGUGCAGGAGCACAUGUGGCAAUGGCAAAUCUAUACGCCAGCAAGGGACAGUGGUGUGAGGCAGCACAAGAGAGACAUAUGAUGAAGCAGAAAGGGGUUGUGAAAGGAGUAGGCUGGUCAUCAGUCACAGUUGGAGGGGAGGAGAGGGGAGUUGGGGUGUUUGUUGCAGGUGACCGGACACACCCCCAAGACAAUUUGAUCUAUGAGAUGCUUGACUUGAUUUACUAUGGAGUUGGAAUGGCUCGGUAUGUACCCGAUCAGAUGAAUUUAGCAUCUGAGGUAGAGCUAAUGGUUAACACUUACAGUAGUAGUUAUAAC
Molecule: ribosomal RNA, 957 nt
Filed under: Triticum aestivum (bread wheat)
Lineage: Eukaryota; Viridiplantae; Streptophyta; Magnoliopsida; Poales; Poaceae
Description: partial small subunit ribosomal RNA
Source: RNAcentral